Molecule: unclassified non-coding RNA, 4248 nt
Filed under: Harpegnathos saltator (Jerdon's jumping ant)
Lineage: Eukaryota; Metazoa; Arthropoda; Insecta; Hymenoptera; Formicidae
Description: pH and SEC7 domain-containing protein 1, transcript variant X2
Source: RNAcentral
CGCGCGCGAUACCCACACACAAAGAAAGAGAGAGAGAGAGAGAGAGGGAGAGGGACAGAGUAAUCUCACUUUUCCUUCGCUCGAUCCUCCGUCAGCCUCUCCAAAGCCUUUGCUCUCGCCCUCCUGAAGGUGUGGCGUAUAUGAUACGGUAUCUCUCGAGCAGCGUUGCCGCGUCUCCCCUCUCUCUCUCUCUUUCUUUCUCCUUCCCUCCCUCCCUUCCUUCUACCUCCUUUCGCCGCGACGUACGGUGAAUGACAGCGAACAGGCAUAAGCGAGCGAACAAGAAGGAGUGAGAGCUAGAGCGCGUCGCUAGGCUCUGAGGGUGAGAGAGGGGAAGAGAGAGAGAGCGCGAACGCGGCCGAUCGUUUCGCAGUGCGGCUGGCGAGAGGAAAGGAGGGAGGGAAGGGAAGGGCGCCUCCCGACCGCGCGUGGGUGUGCGUGCCUGUGGGAUAGAUACACCGCUGCCGCCGUAGUCGACUGACAGCGCGCGGUAGGACGUGGGAGAGAGAGAGAGAGAGAGAGAGAGAGAGAGUGAGUGAGUGAGUGAGUGAGUGAGUGAGUGAGUGAGUGAGUGAGUAAGCGAGAGAGAAAGAAAGAAGCACACGCAGGAACCCGCGCGACGGACACGGUGGCGCGUCGCGCGUCUGGUUCGGCCGCCUGUUCCUUUCCUUUCGCUUUUGCGCGAGCGUGCGUGUGCUAAGCGCGAACGCGAGUGCUGAGUGAUCCUGAGCGCGAGUGGCAGUGCGGCCGCGAGUGCGAGCGUGUGUCCGACGGAGAGAAGCGCGUGACGCGAUAGCGUCUCGACGAGACAAAUGAUAGCGGACAGGACGUGGGGAUCGAUGUGACCGUGCCUGCUCGCCUGCCUUCCUCUGCCUGUGCCCGCUUGCCAUGGCUGAGGAGGAGCUGCUGGUCACCCUGAACCGCGGCGACACCGGCGGCGGCGCCGGGUUCGGCUUCUCGCUUCUCGGUAGCAACGCGGCCGGCGGUCUGCGCGGCCACCACGUCAUCUAUGACAUCGUCGAGAACUCGCCGGCGGCCCGGAGCGGCAAGGUCGAGGCCGGCGACGUAAUACUCAGGGUGAACGAAGUCGACGUCAACCGAUUCAGUACGAAGGAAGUGCUAAAAUGCCUGCGGCUCUCUUCAGAUCCUGUCACCCUGAAGCUGCGAAGAGAUCCAGCAGUGAAGGCGCAUGUUCGUCGCCUAUUGUCGCCCGGACAACCAACCAAUGAGGAGGAGUCCACUACGGAGUCUUCCAAGGAGAAUCCUCCUUCGCUGAAUAAGGAGGAUAAGGAGCUGGCGGAGGUGUCCUCCACAGGUUCGCCGACGCCGGUGACGAUGACGGCGGCGACGAGGAGCAACGGCUCAUGCAGCGAUGCCUCCGUCUCGUCGGAACUAGAGGCGCUCCUGCCGGCCGCCGUGGACCACUUCAAAGAGGAAGAGAGAUCUCAAUGGGAGCCUCUCGGCACGACUGGCGAGAAAUUCGUUCGGCAGAAGAACACACCUAGGUUCGAAGCGUACAUGAUGACCGGUGACCUGAUGCUCAACCUCUCUCGCACUCAGCAGAGCAGCAAUCUGCUACCGAAGCAGCAGCAACAACUGCAACAGCAGCAUCAGAAGAAAAUCGACUCCCUUAGGUACAAUCCCAACCACCACUCUUACACCGUCACCACCACAACCACCCACCACAACCACCACCAUCAUCAUCAUCAUCACCACCAGCACCACAAUUCGGUGCCCAGCAGCCCCAACGACAACACGUUGGCGCACCAUCAUCAUCACCAACAUCACCACUAUCACCAACGCGCUACUUACAAGUCCUCUAGCUCGGCUAGCACGUCGCCCGUGGGCACUGGUAGACGCGACGGGGUGCAGGGUACCCCAGGCUCACAUCAGAUCGACUCCAGCAACAAGAAUACCCCUUCGAGCUUCGGUUUCGUCCGAACCUCGCGGUCGGAGGAUCACUUGCAGUUCCAAAAAGACCCCUCCAUGAGCGCCGUGGAUAUCGACAUCGACGACGACGUCACCAGCAGCCUAAAUACCUUGCUGGACCCGCGGCCGGAGAUCGGUCUCAUGCCUAACGAGAGGAUCGUCUGGACGUAUAACGCGCCCGUCAGCUCGCCCGCCGCUUCCUGCUGCCAAAAUGGCGGCUCUUCCUCCUCUUCUUCUUCCUCCUCUUCAUCCUCUUCAUCAACCAGUCCUCAGCGUUCGCUGUCCCCUGCCUCCCCUACCUCCGUCUCGUCCUCCGUCAUGUCCUCCAACUCUGGCUCGCGCAGGUUCCCGCCGGCACAGACGGUUCCUGGAGUCUCCGGGGUUUCUGGCACCCCGGGCGGGCUUCUCCCAGCGAACGGCGACCUCAGCCAGUCGGAGGCUAUCAGCAACAUGUCAAGUCCGGACUAUAACGAUGAGGAGACCAUGGAUAUCCUCAGCGCGAGGGAUAUCAUGAUGGUGAGCGACCCCAGCGACAGCGACUCCACCAUUUUGGCGAGCGAACCACCCCAAAGGAGGCUGAAGACCAACAACCCCCAGGACAGUGGUGGCGGUGACCACAGAAUCGUGAUACAGGUAAAGGGCCCUGAUAAGGAUGCCGCUGCGCCGAGAAACACAAGUCCCAGACAGGCGAGAAGACGCGGCAAUCCUGGAAACGCGGAACUGACGCCUCCUCCUGUCGCUGCACAGAAUCUGCAGCGAACACAAACAGCGACGGCGCCGGGGGUCACGACGGGGUCGAUGGCACCAGAACACGUGGGUUACCAGGAGCUGAAGGAGUGCGAGGACGAUAAAGAAGCUUCGACGGGCUUGUGCGACGAGCAGAAAGGACACGGCGGAGUGUCGCCGCCGCAAUCGGCCGACGAGGAAAGCGACAUCGAAAGCCUGCACAGCUUCCACUACAGUCCGAAGGCGGUGGACCUACCGUCAGCCGUACGGCUAGCCAAGCGUCUCUACUCCCUGGAUGGUUUCAAAAAGUCCGAUGUCUCCAGGCAUCUAAGCAAAAACAACGACUUCAGCAGAGCCGUAGCUGAGGAAUACCUGCGUUAUUUUAACUUCGAGUGCGACACACUGGAUGUGGCUCUCCGGAAAUUUCUCGCUCAGUUUUCGCUCACGGGAGAGACCCAGGAGAGAGAGCGCGUCUUAGUACAUUUCUCCAAGAGGUUUUUAGACUGCAACCCCGGCACCUUUAAUUCUCAGGAUGCCGUUCACACUUUGACGUGCGCGAUAAUGUUGCUCAACACGGAUCUGCACGGUCAGAACAUCGGCAGGAAGAUGUCGUGCUCGGAGUUCGUGGAGAACCUGUCGGAGCUUAACGACGGCGACAAUUUCCCGCGGGAGGUGCUCAAACAACUUUAUAACGCUAUCAAGUCUUUUCCUCUCGAAUGGGCCCUGGACGAAGAAGGAGAUGAAACGACGUCUCAGGUGAUCCAGCAAGGCGACGGGCCGGCGAUCGCUGGCACCGGAAAUCCAUUUCUCGACGUGCCAAAUGUCACGGGUGCCACGGAGUUCAAAAAGGGUUACGUCAUGCGAAAAUGCUGCUACGAUUCCAACGGCAAAAAGACUCCGUUUGGCAAACGCGGAUGGAAAAUGUAUUACUGCACGCUUCGGGAGCUGGUGCUGUAUCUGCACAAGGAUGAGCACGGUUUCCGCAACGAUAGUUUGCACAACGCGAUACGCAUCCAUCACGCGCUUGCCACCAAGGCGUCCGACUACACGAAGAAACAGCACGUCUUCCGUCUGCAAACCGCUGAUCAGGCCGAGUACCUCUUCCAGACCAGUGACUCGAAGGAGUUACAAUCGUGGAUCGACACUAUCAACUUCGUGUGCGCGAGCUUCUCGUGUCAGCCUUUAGCCGGUGCUGUGGGCUCGCAGCGCAAGUUUCAACGGCCGUUGCUGCCUUGCAGCCAUACUAAACUGGAUUCCGUGAAGAGAGCAGUUGCGGGACCACGAGGACAGGGUCAACAGGUUGGAGGCGGAGUUGGAUGAGCACAGGAGGCACCCACCGGAGAGGAGUGCCAAAGCCCUAACUGUACAGAAUUAUAAGGAAAAGGACGCGUAUCUUCAUCACGAGUUGAAACGAUACAAGACGUAUGCAUACCUUCUGCGUUCUCGGCUGGCGUUCAGUGAGGUGGAAUCUUCCUCGCUGGUGGAGAGCAGCAUUGGUGAGGUAGACGAGACUGGCGGUUUAGGUGGGCCUCUAGUAAACAUCACGGCGACUGAAAUGGGAGGUGGCGGUGGCGGCAUUGGCAGCAUUGGCAG